GACAAUUAGCCGUAACAAUUCAACUAUAAAUAGAGAGUAUAGACAUUUACAUUAGUAUCUCCUUCUAUUAGUUUCGGCAAAGAGGAUGCUAAGGUGUAGUUCUGAUUUUUUUUUUUUUUUUGGUGUAGUUCUGAUUUUUGAUAAUAUGAUUUUUUUUUUUUGUAUUUUGGUUUUUUGAAUUGUUUCCAUGAUUUGAGUUGCUGUAACAACCCGCCCAGUGGGAUCAUCCGCCAUGUGGCACACCCUGCCACAUGGCAUGCUUACAGCGCUGCAGCGCAUCGACCUUAACCUCUCUCCUGUGGGCCCAAACUGCGCAUCCCACUGCUCGCAGCCUCCUGGCCCACCAGGUAGGUUAUUGGUGCGCCUGGUGUUCCUUGAACCUUGGUCCUCACCCUUUAACAACCUUCCCACUUGACAACUUGUUACCAGUAAAUCUGCAGUUCAAUUGGUAACAACUUGUCAAGUGGGAAGGUUGUUAAAGGGUGAGGACCUGGGUUCGAGGAACAACAGGCGCACCAAUAACCUACCUGGUGGGCCAGGAGGCUGCGAGCAGUGGGCUGCGCAGUUUGGGCCCACAUGAGAGAGGUUAGGGUCGAUGCGUUGCAGCGCUGUAAGGAUGCCAUGUAGUGGGGUGUGCCACAUGACGGAUGAUCCCACUGGACGGGUUGUUACAUUAAAAGUUUCUCACCGUGGAAGUUGUCACCAAUUAAUUGGGUUGCGCAGAUUGGGCCCACAUGAGAGAGGUAAGGGUCGAUGCGCUGCAGCGCUUGUAGCUGCCAUGUGGCGGGGUGUGCCAUGUGGUAGGUGUUCCCACCUGGAUGGGUUGUUACAGUUGCUUAUCAUCCUUUUAUGAUUUUGUGUUCCAUUCAAGGUUGUAAUUGUGUUUUUUUUUUAUAGUGUUGUAUUAUUUUGGUGUGUUUUGAUUGUUUAAUGCAAUUCUAACUUUUUGUUUAUGUAGUAGGAGUAUUAUCUAUAUUGGGAUCUUUGAUUGGAAAAGUCGUUUAAUGAAUUAAUUGGAGUUGAUGUUAGGCAGAGAGGAUGCUAAGGUAAAAAACACAAUCCGAUAUCUUUAUUUGUUUGCUUUUUGUUAGUUUAUUAUUUACUGAUAUCUUGGUAAGUUAAUUAAUUUUUUUGUUUAUGAAAUUUGGUAUGGAUAUUUUGGAAAUAUAAAACUAAAUUACGGUAGGAAGUAAGAAAGACAUCUAAUUUCGAGCUUAGGAGUUUAGAUGAACGACGUUGUUUGAGUAGUUAAUGCAUUAAUCGUCAAUCAUAAAUAAUUUUAACCAAAAAUAUAUCAAAUAUACCCAUGCAUAGCGUGGGUUCAAAACCUAGAAUGUUCAUGAAAUUAUUUUGAAGAAGAACCUAGAAUUAGACAUCUCAAUAUUUAACAUUUUUUGAAAUUAUAUUAUUUUUCUACUUUUAAGAUUUUUUGCAAAAAAAAAUAAAAAAUACAAUAUAUCGAAAUAAAAUAUAUAUGGAAAAUAUUUUGAUUAUUUGUUUUUGAGUACAUUUCUAAAUUUAAAAUGUAAAAAUUCUAAAGGUUUAGCCUAACAAUUCAGCUAUAAAUAUAGGGUCUUCACCACCACAUUAGAAUACGGUAUAGUUGAAUUGAUAGGAUUAAAUUUGUAGCUCCAAUUAGUUAUUUUCAUUGUAAUUCAUAUUUUUUAUAAUAUUUGUUUUUUGAAUUUUCGUUCUUUUAUGAUGCUUAUCAUCAUAUAAUUUUGUUGAUAUAUUUCAUUCAAAGUUAUACAUUAAUUAUUUUAGUUAUGUUGUGUUAUUAUACUGCUUUGAUUAUUUAGUCCAGUUCUAAGUUUUUAAUUUGUUUUCUUUUGUAAUUGGAGUACUUUCUAUAUUGGUACAUUUGAUCGUGAAAGCAAAGGACUUGGAUAUGAGGUUAGGCGGACGUAUUCUAAGGUAAAAUCCACAAUCCGUUUAAAAAACCAAAAACAAAUACCAUAUAUGGAAUUUAGAGAAAUCUGAAAUUAUGGAAUAUUUCUAAAAAAAAUUAUUUUUGUUUUCAAAAUAAAUAAAUGUAUAAAACUAAUCAAAAUAUUAAAUUUUAAGUUUUAAAAUAACACAAAUCUAUACUAUAUAAAAGUUGAGGCUAUAAGCUUUUGAGAGCGUCCACAUAGGAUUUUAAACGACCAAUCGGGAUUAGACAUCUCAUUAUUUUUAACAAAUUUUAAAUAGCAAUUAUUUUCCAUAUCUAAAAUUAUGUAAAAAGGAAAAUAAACCAUGAUAUAUGGAAAAUAAAACAAAUAUUUUAAAAUAUAGGAACUAUUCUAAAUAUAAAAUUUUGUUAUUAAAAUAUUUGAUACAAAGAUAAUCAAAAUAUUUUAUUUUCAAAUUUAACUAAAUUCAUCAACGGAAAUAUUUUAAAUUGUGUAGCAUAUGUUUGAUUUUAAACAACCAAUUGCGGUUAGAGAUUUCAUUAUUUAACAUUUUUUUAAUUAUAAUAAUUUUCUACAGUAAGAUAUAAGAUAAUUUUUGAGAAAUACCCCUUUUGGUGUACCCCUUUUUAAAAAUACCCCCUUUAUCUAUCCAUUUUCAAAAAUACCCCUUUUUAAAUAUAAAAAAUUAUAAAGUUUUAUAUAGUUGAUAAGGUACUUCUAUAUAAUAACUACUACUGGGAGAUUCAAUAAAAAUAUUUUAAAAUGUUUUAAAUAGUUUUAAAUCGUUUUUAUAAGUUUUAUAAGGUUUUUAAAAGGUUUUUAAAAGGAUUUAUACGGUUUUUAUAAGGUUUUUAUAAGCUUUUUAUAAUUUAUUUUUACGCUAUUUAUGAAAGGUAUAUAAAGUUUUAUACACAUAUAAAGGUAAUUUGUGUAUAUAUUUAUAAGCUUACACACAUUUUUGGAUAAAUUUCAACAUUUUUAGUGGGUUUUUUGAUAAAGUUUGAAAAGGGGGUAUUUUUAAAAAGAGGUAUAUGAAAAGGGGUAUUUUUGAAAUUUCCCCAAGAUAUAAAGGAAAAAACAGGAUAUACAGAAUUCAAAGAAAAUUUUUAAAAAUUUAUAUUGGGAAAUAGUUUUUUGUACUCUAAGAUUUUGGUAUCAAGGAAAAAUAUAUUAAACAUUUAAUAAUAAAAUUUUUAAAGUUUUACGUUUCUAAAAUCUAUGAAGUUUAAAUAAUUUUUAAUAAGAAAAUAUCCAUUAUUAUUAGUCUCACUAAAUUUGUUUGUAUUCCAACUUUGAUCAAAAUAUUCAUCAUUAUUAGUCUCACUAAAUUGAUGUUGUUUCAAAAUUUGUAAUUUUAAUAUUAAUAACUCACAUAGAGUAGAAAAUAUGAAACUAUAAUUGAGAUUAGAAAUUUCAUCAUUUUUUAUAAAUAAAAUAAUUUUCUAUAUUAAGAUUCUUUUAAAAAUGAAAAAAUAAAACAAGAUAUAUAGAUUUCAGAGUGAAAUAACCCAUCCCAUUUUUUUUCUUUUAAACAUGCAAACCGGAUUAACCCAAUUAAUUCGAACCAGCUAAACCAGCCAUAAUAAUUUAAAUCAAUUAAACCAAUCAAUCUCAUUAAAGUAAAGCAACAAUAUUAACCAGCGGAAAACUUAACCAAAAAUCCAAUAAAACAAUUCCAUUAAACCAACAAGUUCAACCAAACAUUAUUCCAAAACAUGAUCAUCCUAACAUGUUUCUAAAUUCCAUUCUAACACCCUAACAAAUCCAAAAAUAAUCUAAAACACCAAUGAGUGCCUAGAUCAUCCUCCUCUCCUCGCCAUGAUUCCACGGAUCACACUUUGACUUUAUGUGCAUCAAAGAAAGAGAUGCAUAAGUAUUUCAUAAAUACUUAGUGAGGGCGAUCCUCCCAUCUACGAGCUAAACACACAAGCAAUGAGAUAACACCCACAUAUAUAACAAAAACAAAUCAUCCAGCAAGCUAAACAUCCAAUAACACAUCCAGUUCACCUACAAAUCAUCACACAACAAGUCACUCAAUCCCAAUCGCUUAGAUAAGCUCAUGGUCACGCACUCACCUUAACAAGGUGAUUUGAACUACAGAAACAUCCAGAAAAGCCUCUCCUCGCGACUGCAACAGCCAAAAAACACCCUACAACAAACCACAUAAACAAAAGUCUCUAAGAACCAAAAGAACAGAAACACCAGAAAAACUACAGCCGCAGAAACGAAGCCCUAAAACAAAAACCAACCGUUAACUUCUUAAUCCCUACGGUGAAAAGCAAGAUCUAGACGUCAUGAAGCUCCCCACAAAUGUUGGUGCCGAUCGAAGAAACGAUGAAACCACGAUCGCACUUACAAACUCCGCUGAUCCCAGUUCGCAACAGAGAAAACGCGUCUCACCAAAUUGCAUAGAACUUACUGAGUAUUAAUCCGAAUUCACUUCUGUAAAAAGGAGAAUCAACGUACACGCCUUAAGAACAAACCUACCAAAAUUCAUUACCUUUCGAUAAGAUUUGAUACGUCGUAACUCUAUUCUACCAGGAUGUGACGAAUCUGCUUCUCUCGCCUUAAACACCAAAGCAAAGCUAACACUCUCCUUCUCACAAGUAAACUUCUCCUUCUCUUUUUCUCAACUCAACUCUCAGAAACAACAACCACAAAACAAAAGAGAGAAGAAGCGUUCUUUAUAAAACUAGGGUUUUUGGUUUAAUUCUAAUUAAACCAGAAUUUACCUAAACCGACUUUAAUUAAACCUCCUUUGAUUCAAUUAAACAAAUCGACCAGUUUAGGAAAUCAACCGGAAUUAAACCGACUCCACCCUAAUUCUUAUACACAUUCAAGUCUCCUAUUAAUUUUCAGAACACGGGCGUUACAAUUCUCCCCCACUAACAUGGAUUCGUCCCUGAAUCCUUCAACAUGUCCGUCAGUACACCACUGACCUCUCCGAGGCCCCUAUCUAAUCAAUAUACUCACCUCCCCCGUCCACAGGUCGCAACCCAUGAAUCAUACCGGCUCGUCCUCAGGCCUCAGCCUUAGACAACGGUAUCCAGGAAGUCUCACCACUCCCCCCGCUCUCAGGCCGCAACCUUCGAGUCAUACCGGCUCAAUAUUAGGCCAACAACCUUCAAGCUACGGUAUCCGGGAAGUCUCACGACUCCCCCCGCUCUCAGGUCGCAACCUUCGAGUCAUACCGGCUCACUAUUAGGCCACCCGCCUUCUAGCUACGGUAUCCGGGAAGUCUCACGUUGCUGUCGGGUUAUCACCCUCAAGCGUGCACUCGAAUUGUCAUCCGAGGCCAUCACAUCAUAUUCGAGCAAAUAAGUCUAAACGCCCCCGAGCAUAUCUCUCGAUCAGAUAUACCUCACGUGGUCCACUUAUAGCAUCGCAAUGUUAUACUAACCACCACCCCGAGACUUUCCAAAAAUAGAACUGUCAAACCCGACACUUUCUACUUUUAGAAACUCGCACAUAUUUCUCUUACACAUGACACAACAAGUCAAAUCCAAGAAAUACUCAUCUUAUUAAUCUCCAAUGUCAUAAUCAUUACACCAAAAAUGAAAAUACAAAAGAGAUACAACCAAAUCAAAACUCAAAACAAAACAAGCCAACGGUCUACUGCUCGAUAUGCUUGUCAAACCACUUCCGGAACCUUGCCUUCAUCCUGGCCACUGGCUCCCAAGUCUCCUCCAAGACUCCAUCACAGGCCCCCUGGACUCUCAUCAAAGGAAUCUUCUUACGUCGAAGUUCCUUUACCCGCCUCUCGAGAACCCUCACUGGCCUCGCCUCCAAGGUCAUGCUAGGCUGAAGAUCUGCCGGGAUCGUAGCCAACACCUCAUCAUCCUUGUGAAGACACUUCCUUAGCAUCGACACGUGGAAUACCUUAUGAAAUGCAUGCAUUACCUCAGGUAACUCCAACCGAUAAGCCACCGGUCCAACCCGCUCCACAAUCCUGAAAGGACCUAUAAACCUCGGACUCAGCUUAGUCUCGGUAAGGGACCUGUUAGGACCACGCAACAUCGCCAUCUUGAGAUAUACCAUAUCUCCAACCUCAAACUCCAACUCCUUACGCCUCUUAUCAGCAUAACACUUUUGCCGAUCCUGCGCCUCUCUCAUGUUCAGCUUCAGAACCCGAAUCUUCUCUGAAGUCUCCUGAACAAAAUCCGCACCAUAAAUGCUCCUCUCCCCCACUUGAGUCCAGCAUAGAGGUGUCCGACAUGGCCUCACAUACAACGCCUCAUAAGGAGCCAUCCCAAUACUCGCCUGUUAGCUAUUAUUAUAAGCAAACUCCACCAAGCUCAAGUGAUCUGUCCACUGACUACCCCAGUCCAACACACACAUCCUCAACAAAUCCUCAAAUGUCUGAAUGGUCCGCUCAGACUGCCCGUCUGUCUGAGGGUGGUAAGCCGUGCUUAAAUGCACCUUAGUACCCAUCUCCUUCUGGAAAGCCUUCCAGAACGCCGAAGUAAACUUCGAAUCCCGGUCUGACACAAUACUGGCCGGUACUCCAUGAAGUCUCACAAUCUCCUGCACAUACUUCUUAGCUAGCACUGCCGCUCCAUCGGUUUUCUUGAUAGCCAAGAAAUGUGCAGACUUAGUCAAACGGUCAACAAUGACCCAAAUGGCAUCCUUGAACUGAGGCACUGGCAACCCUACCACGAAAUCCAUCGUGUUCAUGUCCCAUUUCCACUCUGGAAUAGGCAGACUCCGCAAUAAUCCACUCGGCACCUGAUGCUCAGCCUUCACUAGCUGACAUACAUCGCACUCAGAGACCCAUUUAGCUACGUCCCUCUUCAUCCCGACUCAAUGAUAAUACCGUUUCAGAUCUCGGUACAUCUUGGUCGCUCCUGGAUGAAUAGAGUACCUACUCGCAUGAGCCUCACUCAAGAUCUCUCGUCUCAACUCCUCAUCCUUGGGCACACAAACUCGCCCAUGCACAAGGAUAGUCCCAUUGGCUGCAACCUGAUACUCUCACUCAGUAUCCUUAGCCCUGCAUCCUUCUCUUGAGCCGCUCGAACUCUGGUCAGAAGGUCUGCUUGGUUAGCUGCUUCUAACCCUAGUGGCUCCUGAGAGAUAGCACACAACCGCAAGGUGUUAAGUUCUCCCACCAAGGUCUCCAUAUCCUGCCCUCGAGCUGAAGCUGCUCGCUUCCUGCUCAGAGCAUCUGCAACCAGAUUAGCCUUACCAGAAUGGUAAGCUAUCUCCAGAUCAUAGUCUGCAACCAACUCCAUCCAGCGCCUCUGCCUCAAGUUCAACUCAGGCUGCGUGAAUAUAUACUUUAGACUCUUAUCAUCUGUAAACACCUGAACCUUCGCUCCAUACAGAUAAGAUCUCCAUAUCUUCAGAGCAAAGACCACCGCUACCAUCUCCAAAUCAUGAGUAGGGUAGUUGCCCUCAUGCUUCUGCAACUGCCGCAAAGCAUAGGCGAUCACCUUACCCUGCUGCAUCAACACACAACCUAAACCAAUUCCCGAAGCGUCCGUGUACACCACAUACGGCUCUCCCUGCUCCGGUAAAGCCAAAACCGGCGUACUCGUCAACAUCUCCUUGAGUUGAGCGAAACCCUGCUCACACUCAGGAGUCCACACAAAAGGAACAUCCUUCCCCGUCAGCUUGGUCAUUGGCUGAGCUGUACUGGCAAAGCCCUUCACAAACCGUCUGUAGUAACCCGCCAAUCGUAGAAAACUCUGUAUCUCGGUGGCAUUCUACGGUCUAGGCCAAUCUCUGAUAGCCUCAAUCUUCUCUGAAUCCACAGAAACUCCCUCUGCAGACACGAUAUGACCUAGAAAACCCAUCUUUCUCUGCCAGAAACUGCACUUGCUCAGCUUAGCAUACAGCUUUUGCUCACGCAGCUUCUCCAACACUGCCAGCAAGUGUACCUCGUGCUCCUCAGGACUCUUAGAAUACACCAGGAUAUCAUCAAUGAAGAUGAUAUCAAACUCAUCCAGAAACGCCUGGAACACACUGUUCAUCAGCCUCAUGAACGCCGCUGGUGCAUUAGUCAACCCGAAAGGCAUCACCACGAACUCAUAAUGUCCAUACCUCGUCCUGAACGCCGUUUUACGGAUAUCUGCCUCGUCGAUAGGAAUCUGAUGGUACCCCGACGCCAAAUCGAUCUUAGAGAACCACGUAGCUCCCCUCAACUGGUCCAACAACUCGUCAAUCUGCGGCAAAGGAUACUUGUUCUUCACCGUGACUCGGUUAAGUCCCCGGUAAUCGAUACACAGCCGGAAACUCCCAUCCUUCUUCUUAACGAACAACACCGGUGCUCCCCAUGGUGAAACACUAGGACGGAUGAAACCCUUACCCAGCAGAUCCUCCAACUGUUUCUUCAGCUCAGCCAUUUCUGCUGGAGCCAUCCGGUACGGAGCCUUAGACAACGGCGUUGUCCAGGGCUCCAACUUAAUCGUGAAGGGAUCAGACCUAGAUGGUGGUAACCCCUUUAACGACUGAAACACAUCCUCGAACUCCUGGACCACCCGAAUCUUAUCCACUGCUACCUCAUCGACCGUCUCUGGCAUGAGGAUCGUAGCCAAAUAGGCUUCCCGCCACUUCCGGAUCAUCUUAUCCGCCUGAAUCGCCGAAAUCACUAAACUCCCCGAAAUCGGUCUCACACCCUGGUAAUACAUCUUCGGCCCGGGACGCUCGAAGUAUACUCUCCCCCGGUGACAAUCCAGAUGAACUCUGUGCCGCUCCAACCAAUCCAUGCCCAGAAUUACAUCAUACAACUUCACCGGACUAAUGUACAGAUCUGCCGGCAUCGACUCUCCCGCAAUCUGUACAUCCACACCACUAGCCCGUCCCUGAACCGCUAGCAAAACGCCUCUUGCGACUUUAACGGCCCCAAAACAAAUAUCGGGAUCUCUUCGGAUGUUACUACCCGUCGCGCACUCUGGGGUAAUGAAGCUAUUCGUAGCUCCAGAAUCAAACAUCACGUGGGACAAGAACCCGCCCACCAACAGGGUCCCUACACAAACCCUUUUCACUAAGACUGCCCACCCCAACAUCACAGGAAAACAACACAAAUUCUAAAACAACGGAAGGAAACAAAAUGAGUCAUAGAAUUAAACAUGUGAUCGGCCGUCCAGUGCUUGGCUCUCCUCUCUCCACAGUCGUAUACCCCCUCGAUCCCUCGAUCUGUGCCACCAGCGGUGCUCCCAGUUGAGCCAACGACUGCCUUGCCAGCUGCAAUCCUGGCUGCACCCACUGCUGCACCACUGGCUGCAUCACCAGCUGCACCGCUGCUACCGUCAUCUGCUGCAACUUAGGACACCUCGUCUUGAUGUGCCCCGUCUCUCUGCAGUGAUAACAGAUACGGGUAUCCACCCACGGCUCGCCCUUCUUCGGGCAGCUCGCCACCUAGUGAUUCGUGCUCCCACACCUGAAGCACCUCCGAUCACCCUGACUCACCCUGGAAGUGUCAUCCCACUUCCUCUUCUGUCCCUGAGCAGGUUUGCCACCUCUGCUCGGAACAGACUGCGGCUGGGUCUUCUUCGGCUGCGCCGACGGACAAGGAAUCACCCAGUGACUCCUCAACUCGUCCUCGAUCCCCGCCGCCACCUCAACCAGCUCCACACGCGAUGCAUAGGCCCGCACCUUGCACCGCACCCUCAUGUCAGGGCUGAGACCCUUCAUGAACCGACGCACCUGCAUCUGCUCAGGAUCUCCCGCACGCCCCGAGUACUCCAAGAGUCGGCUGAACUCCGAGUCGUACUCCCGCACCGACCGCUCGCCCUGAGUCAACGCCAGGAACUGCAACUCCAUCCGGUCUAGUGCCUCCGCCGGAAAAUACUUGGCAUUAAACUCUGCCAAGAAAUCUCCCCACACCGCCAAUCCCUGCCCCCUCUUGGCCAGCACACUCCGCCACCACAAAUGUGCAUCACCUGCCAAGUAGUGGGCCGCUAGGUCCACCCGAUACGCCUUUGGGCACCUCAUCGACUGGAAAUACCGCUCCAGUCGCACCCGCCACUCAUCCGCUACAGCCGGGUCGGAACCUCUGAAGAACAAGGACAUCCCGAACCGCUGCAGCUGCUCCAACAUCCACAGGUAGUAUGGCUGCUCGACCACCGCACCUACCCCCUCAGGCGGUACAACCCCAACAACAGGCUGCACACCAGGCCCAACAGGCUGCACACCAGGCCCAAGAGGAGACUGCACCUCAGGCCCAACAGGAGCCUGCAACUCAGGCCCAACAGGAGCCUGCACCGGCGGUACCGCACCCGGUAACCGCUCCAAGAGUUGCGUCAGUAAAUCCGCAAGCUGAUCAUUCUGACCCUGGGCUGCACCUGUUGGAACACCCCCAACUGGGUUUCCAACAACACUAGUACCGUUCCCGGACGAACCGGCUCCCACGGCACCCACACUCUCACCACCCACGGCGACUGGGACUCACUAACAAAAUCGGCCGUAGCAUUCCGGCCCACACUCGUGUCGCUACCCGAGGCAACACCACGCCCCCUACCGCGACCACGCCCAUGACCACGACCACGACCACGACCGACAGCUCCACCUCAAACCAUCUGCAACACAACAGAAGGCUAAGAACACUAAACAAAUCACCAAACGGCACAACUUACCGUGGAAUCUCAUUGAAGGCUCGAGAGGAUGAUCUAGGUUUCCAUGCUCACACAAUUAAUAAAACACACAAUCAAUCAGCAUGCAAACCACAUCAUCAUUCCUCAUCAAUGAAAUUCACACAUCACAUCACAAUUUUUACCAAUUAAAUCUCGUCCUAGAACCGUAAAUGCUCUGAUACAAAAUUGAAAGAACCCAUCCCAUUUUUUUUUCUUUUAAACAUGCAAACCGGAUUAACCCAAUUAAUUUGAACCAGCUAAACCGGCCAUAAUAAUUUAAAUCAAUUAAACCAAGCAAUCUCAUUAAAGUAAACCAACAAUAUUAACCAGCGGAAGACUUAACCAAAAAUCCAAUAAAACAAUUCCAUUAAACCAACAAGUUCAACCAAACAUUAUUCCAAAACAUGAUCAUCCUAACAUGUUUCUAAAUUCCAUUCUAACACCCUAGCAAAUCCAACAAUAAUCUAAAACACCAAUGAGUGCCUAGAUCAUUCUCCUCUCCUCGCCAUGAUUCCACGGAUCACACUUUGCCUUUACCUGCAUCAAAGAAAGAGAUGCAUAAGUAUUUCAUAAAUACUUAGUGAGGGCGAUCCUCCCAUCUACGAGCUAUACACACAAGCAAUGAGAUAACACCCACAAAUAUAACAAAAACAAACCAUCCAGCAAGCUAAACAUCCAAUAACACAUCCAGUUUACCUACAAAUCAUCACACAACAAGUCACUCAAUCCCAAUCGCUUAGAUAAGCUCAUGGUCACGCACUCACCUUAACAAGGUGAUUUGAACUACAAAAACAACCAGGAAAGACUCUCCUCGCGACUGCAACAGCCAAACAACACCCUACAACAAACCACACAAACAAAAAUCUCUAAGAACCAAAAGGACAGAAACACCAGAAAAACUACAGCCGCAGAAACGAAGCCCUAAAACAAAAACCAACUGUUAACGUCUUAAUCCCUACGGUGAAAAGCAAGAUCUAGACGUCACGAAUCUCCCAACAAAAGUUGGUGCCGAUCGGAGAAACGAUGAAAUCAAGAUCGCACUUACAAACUCCGCUGAUCCCAGUUCGCACAGAGAAAACGCGUCUCACCAAAUUGCAUAUAACUCACUGAGUAUUAAUCCGAAUUCACUUCUGUAAAAAGGAGAAUCAACGUACAUGCCUUAAGAACAAACCUACCAAUAUUCAUUACCUUACGAUAAGAUUUGAUACGUCGUAACUCUAUUCUACCAGGAAGUGACGAAUCUGCUUCUCUCGCCUUAAACACCAAAGCAAAGCUAACACUCUCCUUCUCACAAGUAAACUUCUCCUUCUCUUUUUGUCAACUCAACUCUCAGAAACAACAGCCACAAAACAAAAGAGAGAAGAAGCGUUCUUUAUAAAACUAGGGUUUUUGGUUUAAUUCUGAUUAAACCAGAAUUUACCUUAACCGACUUUAAUUAAAUCUCCUUUGAUUCAAUUAAACAAAUCGACCAGUUUAGGAAAUCAACCGGAAUUAAACCGACUCCACCCUAAUUCUUAUACACAGUCAAGUCUCCUAUUAAUUUUCAGAAUACGGGCGUUACACAGAGAAACGUUAACUGUGCUCCAAAUUUUAUGAUAGUGUAUAUGAAAAGAGAAUAAAAGGAUAACCAAAGCUUCUCAAUCACUAUAAAGACUUGGGUUAAGAAUUUUAGAUCUAGAAUUAUAUCAGAUAUCAGAAAAAUGUAAACUUCUCUCCAAUUUAUAAAUAAAAAGCGAAUAAAUGGGAUAAACAAAUCUUAUCAUUCACGAUAAUGACUUGGGUUAAGAAUUUUAGAUAUGAAAUUAAAUAAAUAACAAAUAUGGACUUUAUUGUUGGCAAGAGGGUAAGGAAUAUGAGCCAUAUAUUUGAGGAAAUUAAUGCAUCAUUUGAGAAAGAGAAUUUUAUGUGUAAUAUUGUUCCAUGUAUUUAGAGAGAGCAUAGAUGGUUGGUUAACAGGAUCUCCGGCUCUGGCAAAGAUGAUAAAAUAUUUAGGCGGUUGGAUCCUAGAAUGAUAAUUGCAAGGAGAGUAUUAACCACCGACUAGGAGAGGCAAUUGUUAAAAGUUACAACCUAGCUAGGUUUUGGUUGUAGACUUAGAUUUAGAAUCCUUUAUUGGCGGUCAGGUUUUGUCUCAUGAUUAUAAGAGUGGCGAAAUGGAUGCCAGAAAUUAGGCUUUUAAUAAGAUUAGUGGUGAUGAAAAUACAAAUCAACAAUAUUCUAUUAUUUCUAUAUAUUGUCAAUCGGUAUUUUUCAUCUUCAUAAUUUUGUAAUAGAAUGGAUUCACUAAAAUCUAAUAUUCUAAAACGUGACCUAGGUGGUUGCUUAGACACUAGGACCUCAGCCGAAGUCUAGACGACUGCCUAAAUUGUAUAGAUUAUAUUAUUGUAAUUUUUAACUGCAUAUAUUUAAAUUUUAAGUUUUACAUCCAUAUAUAUAUAAUUAUAAACGUUCAUAUAUUUUUAAAAGAAUUUAAAUAACCGUUUUCUAAUAUUAUUUUAAGAUUUAUUAAUUUUGUUUUUCUAACAAAUAUUUUUAUAUCGUUUAUCAAUAAUAUCAUAUAUAUAAUACUUUAUUUUGUAAUUACUAAAACAAACCUUAUAGAAAAUGUUAAACGUAGUUGAAAUAAAAGUAUGGUUGUAGUAAGAUUUUGGAGAAUAAAAGAAGUGCUAAAAUAUAUGGUUAACGCUCAUACAUUAUAUAACAAUGAGAGGUAGUAGUUGCAAAACUUACAAAAAAAAAAUAUAGAAGUCAUGGUUUUAAAUAGUCAUUAGAUUUUUAGAAUAUUAUCUUGAGAUAAGCUAUACUAACAAAAAUGAAGUGAGUAGGAAAAAAAAUGGUAAUGAAAUUGUGCAUAACAAAAUGAAGAAGUCAUAAAAGUUAAGUGUUUCUGAUAUAUGACAACAAUGUAAUUUAUAAAGAUACAAUUGGAACGUUAAAGAUGAAGAGGCAUGUAAUAUUUAAAAUUUUUUGGUCAUUUGUUAGGUGCAUUUAUGACCAACAUCAAUCUAUAGAAAAUAAUAUUUUAACUAACCGUAUAUAAUUUUUAAUUUUUCUUUCGUAUCCUAAAAAAAAUUGAAAUAACGUAAAUGAUACACAAACUAUAAAUUAAAGAAAUUUUUUAUUAAAAUAUAACUAAAAUGUUAUAGCACUUUCGCAUAUUAUUUGUAAAUAUAUAGCUAUUUAAAUGAGUAUUUAAUCUAAAUAUUUUUAAAAAUAAUUAAUACGAAUAUACCCGCGCAUAGCGCGGGUUAAUAACCUAGAAUGAAACUAUAGUAUUUUAGGAACAAGCAUUUAAAAAUAUUUAUCAAUGAUAAACAUUUAAAAAUAUUGCAAUGAUAAACUAAACAUAUCGAGGUAUGAUUAAAGAGAUUAGAGUGAGUGAAGCAAUACUAAAUUGAUUCUAAUCCAUGUAUGAAAAACUUUAGGAGAGCACAAAAGGUAUGCGGAAACAGUGGUUAAUGUUUUGACGAAUAUGAUUUUGACUGCAAAGAAGUGUGCGGUAAAAAUGAAGAAUAAGAAAGAAGAUGUUGAGAAAAAGCUUGAAGGUCAUGUUAAGAUAAGAGGAAAGAGACAAUGAGAAGCUGAAGGAGACAUUGUUGGGAUUAAGAGAAGAGAAAAUAAGAGUGAUAAGACAGUUGUGUGUAUGGAUCAAACACCAUAAUGACCAUUGUGAGUAUCUUGGAAAGGUUCCUUUUGUCAAAAAUAGUUAUUACAAGAGGACAAAGAGAAGCACAACCGGCAAUUCAAGUAACUAUUUUCUUCCACGGAAUUCAAGCAAUUCAAGCAAUUCAUGUAACCACAGUUAAAGUUGAUUACUAUUCUAAACUAUUGGAUAUGAAGAAAAAGUAUCAAUGAAAGCAGAAACAAGAAAAAUUGGCUAGGUGUUGCUCUGAUUUCAGGAAAGUAUUAGAUGAAGUAUAUGCUAAGAAUCAACACAAAUCACUAGAUCAUCAUAGUUUCUAUGUCAAGCAGCAUGAUCCCAAAAAUUUAAGCAUAAAGUGAAUGUUUUCUUGGAGGACUAUAACUUCAUUUCUAUUAAUUUUGAUUUUGAACCUAAUUUAUGUUUUCUUAAACACCAUUUAUUUGAUGGGUUGCACUUGAAGCUAAGUCCAGCUAAUUCCAUAUUUUUUUCUCUAUAUAGAACGUGUGUAAUAAAAAGGCGUCGUGAUUGUUUAAAGAAAAAAUGAUGAAACGAAGAGAAUGUUGUGUAUCAUUUAAGUGCAAAAUUGCAUCAAGUAUAGAUGGUUGUUAUGGCCCAAAUACAAGUUUAGUGGCAGAAAUUAAAGAUAUCAGUAAAAAAAGCAUAAAGAAGACAUGCUUCGUUUCAUUGAUGUUGAAACUAGGCCCUCUUUCAUCCUAGAUGUAGAGUUCAUAUAUAAGUCCAUGCUGACCUAUAUCAACUUAUUAAGUAUUACUGUGAAGAAAUAUGUGUUGCGGAACUAUCAGAUAAUGUUAUGAAGCUAUGAUUAACCUUUAUGAUGCCCAUGUUUGUCGUUCCUUCUAGGUCUCAAACUAAUGAGACAAUGAAAGAUGUUGCAAAGAUCGAAGACAAGCAAGAGCACCAUUAUGCAUGUGAGGUGGUGAGGAUAAACACAGCUGGUGACAGUUUUAAACCAUAUAUAAAAGGAAACAACAUGAUUUACUUAUGUUUCAGUAAACCAUUAGUAACCCGAAAAACACCUAAGAAAGAAAACCUAAAAGUAUAAGGAAAUGCACCGAACCCUCAAUAUUGGUGAUCAACUGUAGUUCCCACCCCAACAUCCUCUCUUGCUCACCAACGACUAGUAAUCACCCCGUGACUCCUCAACUCGUCCUCGAUCCCCGCCACCACCUCAACCAGCUCCACAUGCGAUGCAUAGGCCCGCACCUUGCGCCGCACCCUCAUGUCAGUGCUGAGACCCUUCAUGAACCGACGCACCUGCAUCUGCUCAUGAUCUCCUGCACGCCCCGAGUACACCAGGAGUCGGCUGAACUCCGAGUCGUACUCCCGCACCGACCGCUCGCCCUGAGUCAAAGCCAAGAACUGCAACUCUAUCCGGUCUAGUGCCUCCGCCGGGAAAUACUUGACAUUAAACUCCGCCAAGAAAUCUCUCCCACACCGCCACCACAAAUGUGCAUCACCGGCCAAGUAGUGGCCCGCUAGGUCCACCCGAUACGCUUUCGUGCACCUCAUCGACUGGAAAUACCGCUCCAAUCGCACUCGCCACUCAUCCGCUACAGCCGGGUCGGAGCCUCCAAAGAACAAGAACAUCUCGAACCGCUGCAGCUUCUCCAACAUCUGUAGAUAGUAUGGCUGCUCGACCACCGCACCUACCCCCUCAGGCAGUACAACCCCAACAACAGGCUGCACACCAGGCCCAAGAGGAGCCUGCACCUCAGGCCCAACAGGAGCCUGCACCCCAGGCUCAACAGGAGCCUGCACCGGCGGUACCGCACCCAGUAACCGCUCCAAGAGCUGCGUCAGCAAAUCCGCAAGCCGAUCAUUCUGACCCUGGGCUGCACCUGUUGAAACACCCCCAACCGAGUUUCCAACAACACUAGUACCGUUCCCGGACGAACCGGCUCCCACGGCACUCACACUCUCACCACCCACGGGCCCCUCCUGAUGCGACUGGGACUCACUAACAAAAUCGGCCGUAGCACUCCGGCCCACACUCGUAUCGCUACCCGAGACAACACCACGCCCCCUACCGCGACCACGCCCACGACCACGACCACGACCACGACCACGACCGACAGCUCCACCUCUAACAAUCUGCAACACAACAGAAGGCUAAGAACACCAAACAAAUCACCAAACCACACAACUUACCGUGGAAUCUCAUUGAAGGCUUGAGAGAAUGAUCUAGUCUCCAUGCUCACACAAUUGAUUAAACACACAAAUCAACCAGCAUGCAAUCCACAUCAUCAUUCCUCAUCAAUGAAAUUCACACAUCACAUCAAAACUUUUAGUAAUUAAAUCUCAUCCUAGAACCGUAAACGCUCUGAUACCAAAUUGAAAGAACCCAUCCCAUUUUUUUAUUUAAAACAUGUAAACCGGAUUAACCCAAUUAAUUCAAACCAAGCAAUCUCAUUAAAGUAAACCAACGUUAUUAACCAGCAAGAUCAACCAAACAUUAUUCCAAAACAUGAUCAUCCUAACAUGUUUCUAAAUUCCAUUCUAUCACCGUAACAAAUCCAACAAUAAUCUAAAACACCAAUGAGCGCCUAGAUCAUCCUCCUCUCCUCGCCAUGAUUCCACGGAUCACACUUUGCUUUUACUUGCAUCAAAGAAAGAGAUGCAUAAGUAUUUCAUAAAUACUUAGUGAGGCAAUCAUCCUACCACUGGCUAUACACACAAGCAGAAAUGAACACAUUCAAGUAUUAACUCAAACAACCACCAAUAUGACAUAAAACAUCACAACAUGACCCGUUCUGACGAGUAGUGUCGAUCGACACCAUCCGAUGGUGUCGAUCGACACUCAGGACCAUCCUCGCGAGAAAGAAAGUUCGUGUCGAUCGACACCCUCCAUUGGUGUCGAGUGACACCGAAACCCUAACAUCGCUCCAGCCGCUUCUCAUCGAAGGAUCCACCAACUCCAGCACUCCAUGCCCGAUCUAUCACCUCCCCAGGCUCGUACCAAGACACCAUACCACAUAAACAAACAUACAAACACAGAAAUCAAGCAUCAAUCAGAGGAAACACUCAAAAUAAUGCAUCAAAACUGCUUAGAUCUUGAGUUGGAUUUUAAACGACCAAUCGGGAUUAGACAUCUCAUUAUUUUUAACAAAUUUUAAAUAUCAAUUAUUUACCAUUUAUAAAAUUAUGUAAAAAGGAAAAUAAACCAUGAUAUAUGGAAAAUAAAAAAAAUAUUGUAAAAUAUAGGAACUAUUCUAAAUAUAAAAUUAUGUUAUUAAAAUAUUUGAUACAAACAUAAUCAAAAUAUUUUAUUUCAAAUUUAAUUAAAAUCAUCAACGGAAAUAUUUUAAAAUGUGUAGCAUAUGUUCGAUUUUAAACAACGAAUCGCACUUAGAGAUUUCAUUAUUUAAAAUUUUUAUAAUUAUAAUAAUUUUCUACAUUAAGAUAAAAAGGAAAAAACAGGAUAUUCAUAAUUCAAAGAAAAUUUUUCAAAAUUUAAAUUGGGAAAUAGUUUUUUGUAUCUAAGAUUUUUGUAUAAAGGAAAAGAUAUGAAACAUUUAAUAAUAAAAUUUGUAAAGCUGUACAUUUCUAAAAUCUAUGAAGUUUAAAUAAAUUUUUUAUAAGAAAAUAUCCAUCAUUAUUAGUCUCACUAAAUUUGUUUGUAUUCCAACUUUGAGCAAAAUAUCCAGUUUCCUAAUUGAUGUUGUUUCAAAAUUUGUAAUUUUAAUAUUAAUAACUCACAUAGAGGAGAAAAUAUGAAAGUAUAAUUGAGAUUAGAAAUUUCAUCAUUUUUUAUAAAUAAAAUAAUUUUCUAUAUUAAGAUUUUUGAAAAAAAAAAAAAUAACAAGAUAUAUAGAUUUCAGAGAAACGUUAACUAUGCUCCAAAUUUUAUGAUAGUGUAUAUCAAAAAAGAAUAAAAGGAUAACCAAAGUUUCUUAAUCACUAUAAAGACUUGGGUUAAGAAUUUUAGAUCUAGAAUUAUAUCAGAUAUCAGAAAAAUGUAAACUUCGCUCCAAUUUAUAAAAAAACGAAUAAAUGGAUAAACAAAUCUUAUCAUUCACGAUAAUAACUUGGGUUAAGAAUUUUAAAUAUGAAAUUAAAUAAAUAAAAAAUAUGGACUUUAUUUUUGGCAAAAGGGUAAGGAAUAUGAGCCAUAUACUUGAGGAAAUUAAUUCAUCAUUUGAGAAAGAAAUUUUAUGUGUAAUACUUUUCCAUGUAUUUAGAGAGAGUAGAGAUGGUUGGUUAACGGGAUAUCCGGUUCUGGCAAAGAUGAUAAAAUAUUUAGGCGGUUGGAUUUUAAAAGGAAAAUUGCAAGGAGAGUAUUAACCACCGACUAGGAGAGGCAAUUGUUAAAAGUUACAGCCUAGCUAGGUUUUGGUUGUAGACUUUGAUUUGGAAUCCUUUAUUGGCGGUCAGGUUUUUUCCCAUGAUUAUAAGAGUGGCGAAAUGGAUGCCAGAAGUUAUGUCUUUAAUAAGAUUAGUGGUGAUGAAAGAGGAUAUGAAAAUACAAAUCAACAAUAUUCUUUUAUUUCUAUAUAUUGUCAAUCGGUAUUUUUCAUGUUCAUAAUUUUGUAAUAGAAUGGAUUCACUAUAAUCUAAUAAACUAAAACGUGACCUAGGCGGUUGCUUAGGCGCUAGGAGCUCAGCCGAACUCUAGACGACCGCCUAAAUUGUAUGGAUUAUAUUACUGUAAUUUUUAACUGCAUAUAUUUAAAUUUUAAAUUUUAAAUCUAUAUGUAUAUAUAUAUAUAUAUAUAUAUCUAAUUAUAAACGUUCAUAUCUUGUUAACAGAAUUUAAAUAACCGUUUUCUAAUAUUAUUUUUAAAUUUAUUGAAUUUGUUUUUCUAACAAUAAUUUUUACAUCUUUUAUCAAUAAUAUCAUAUAUAAUACUUUAUUUUGUAAUUGCUAAAACAAACCUUAUAGAAAAUGUUGAACGUAGAUGAAAUAAAAGUAUGGUUGUAGUUAGAUAUUGGAAAAUAAAAGAAGAGCUAAAAUAUAUGGUUAACGCUCAUACAUUAUAUAACAAUGAGAGGUAGUAAUUGCAAAACUUACAAAAAAAACUUUUAAAUAGUCAUUAGAUUUUUAGAAUUAUCUUGAGAUAAGCUAUACUAACAAAAAUGAAGUGAGUAGAAAAAAAAAAUGGUAAUGAAAUUGUGCAUAACAAAAUGAGGAAGUCAUAAAAGUUUUUUUUUCUUUAAGUCAUAAAAGUUAAGUAUUUCUGAUAUAUGACAACAACGUAAUUUAUAAAAAUUCAAUUGGAAUGUUAAAGGUGAAAAGACAUGUAAUAUUUAAUUUUUUUGGUUAUUUUGUUAGGUGCAUUUAUUACCAACAUCAAUUUAUAGAAAAU
RNAcentral lists this long non-coding RNA (19429 nucleotides) under Capsella rubella. RNAcentral describes it as "long non-coding RNA (CRUB_LNC004229)". Lineage: Eukaryota; Viridiplantae; Streptophyta; Magnoliopsida; Brassicales; Brassicaceae. The record is from RNAcentral.